Non-coding RNA from Paramuricea clavata, 1531 nucleotides. NCBI's taxonomy places the organism in Eukaryota, Metazoa, Cnidaria, Anthozoa, Malacalcyonacea, Plexauridae. The record is from the annotation of a GenBank genome assembly.
CAAUAUUUUUAUUCGAGGCCGCUAUCUUUAUCAGUGAUACCACUAUAACCACAAUGCAAAGCGCUACGAAAACGUAAUAAGGGGAAUCGUUAAUUCAUCGUUCAUGAAUUACGAGGCGGGCACUAUUUUAAAAAUAUGUCGUAUGAUGAAGGAGAACCAAAUGAAACAAACGUCAUAGGAACAAAAGCAAUAGUGCCAAUUAUGUUUCUUUCAGUUGCUUAGCCCUGAGAACCGUCAAUGUUCUUCAUCCAAUCCGGGAUGUUUUCUAGAGACUCGACUGUGAUUGUUUGUCCAAAAAUCCGCACUUCUCGGUCACCUUUCUGAGGUGCUCUCUGUGAGAAUCCAAUAUUUUUGUAAAUCUGUCACUCCUGCAGGAUAGUCUUUUCACUUUUAUGAUUUUCCUUGCCGCUUGGCCAGCUUCUUCGGGAUCCGACGAAGAGGAAUCGUCUCGGAUGGCCGGCUGUUCGUCUUCACUAUGUUCUGGCGACAUUGAAGCCAACGUCAUGCCACAACGAAUUUCAUGUUUCUCGCUUUCUGGCCACGAUGUUGAUUUGUGUAUAUAACAAAGGAAAACAACAGGAGAAUUAUGAUGAAUGCCGAAUAUCCUACAAACUGUAUCUGCCUAGCUAUAUGUCCUCAGACGUGUUAUCGUUAAUGUGCAUUUCGAAUCGAAGUAUGUAUUGUAGCCUGAAAUGAGUGUUAGUGUAGCCCGAGUUAAGCCCCUCGGGCCAUAAGCCCUUUUCUAGUAAAGCCCAGACCACGCCCAAACCACACUCAUCAUCGUCAAAGGCUUAACUCGAAGUAAAAAACACAAUUUGGAAAUUUCGAGUUAAGCCCCGUGAAAAAGAGGGGCUUAACUUGAUUUCAUCGAAAAUAUUCGAUCCUCGAGUUAAGUCCCGACAUUUGGGGCGUGCAAAAGAGCAGGCCAAUCAGAUCCUCCCUGAAACGGAUUAUCCCAAAGCCUCACGUUCCUUCCCGAGGAUCGCAGGCUCGGAGAAUGGGAUUGGGCUUAAAUAAACUGCAGGCAAAAUGAGACAUGAACAGUUCGUAUAAUUUUCAUUGAGUUAUGCCCUUGACGUCAAUAGGUUUGGUUUGUGCGUAGUCGAGGCUUAACUCGAAAAGGGCUUAACUCGAAGGGCUAAACUCAAAGAUUAUCUACCUCCCUGAAAUCAGCACUCGGCAUACGACGAGCGUGAGCAACGCUUAUUUAAGGACAAUGUAAAUGCAUUACAUUGUCCUUAAAUAAGCGUUGCUGACGCUCGUCAAUAUGGCGGUUAAUAGAGUGCAAAGCACCGAUUUCAAUCUACAAUCUUGGACAUAACUGGUUGAGAAUUUUUCCCUCCUAUAGAAAAUUCACAUGAUAUUUUUAUAAUAAACUCCUUAUUGAAUCAACCUCGUCCCCAGGCUCCAACUCACGCGCGCGGGUCCCAACGCAAGCAGGGGACGGCGCAGCAAAUCAAAGCGCCUGGAAACGAGGCUGGUAUAUUACCAAAAGUUGUUUCGGCGUUGUUCACAACAUUGAACUGGUGUG